UACAGAGGUCUCAACCGUUGUUCGGAUUCAUUGGGCGUAAAGGGUGCGUAGGCGGUCUCGCAAGUCGGAUGUGAAAUCUCAGGGCUCAACCCUGAAACUGCAUUCGAUACUGCGUGGCUAGAGUGCUGGAGAGGAGACUGGAAUUUACGGUGUAGCAGUGAAAUGCGUAGAUAUCGUAAGGAAGACCAGUGGCGAAGGCGAGUCUCUGGACAGCAACUGACGCUGAGGCACGAAAGCGUGGGGAGCAAACAGG
This 253-nucleotide ribosomal RNA is filed under the name uncultured bacterium. Its description in RNAcentral is "partial 16S ribosomal RNA". It matches the Rfam family "Bacterial small subunit ribosomal RNA", at positions 524 to 776 of the family's 1533-position model. The record is from RNAcentral.